Gastrolobium bilobum is the source of this 1000-nucleotide long non-coding RNA. RefSeq lists it as uncharacterized. The record is from RefSeq and is a predicted model, not a curated record. The transcript is spliced from 4 exons. NCBI's taxonomy places the organism in Eukaryota, Viridiplantae, Streptophyta, Magnoliopsida, Fabales, Fabaceae.
CCAUUGGGUAGAAAUCCCUCCAACCCUAUCUCUCUCUUGUGCGCCUAGGAGAGUAUGACAAAGCUGAUUUCCUUUUGUUAGCCUUAAAGUUUAAUUACUAGUAAGCUUUAACACUCUCUCAUUUGCUUCCCUUGUGCGCUGUGUAGGUGAAAGAACAAAUAUGUAAUUGGUGUCUAAUUGCCAAACACAACCAGCCACCUUAUCCUUUUUCCUUCUUGUGAAAUGUAAGGUAGCUGAAUAUUAUUCUCUAGAUUCAGAACAGAAAACACAGCCUCUCAACCUCCCUCCGAAACUGUUAAUCACCAAAGAAGCACCACAAGAAUGUAACUUGCAAUCCUUCCUUUCUUUUGACCGAGAGCCUUCAUCCUCAUCAUCUCAAGACCUUGAGUAAUUAGCAAAGUACACAAAGCAUCAUCUUCCUCUCCUCUCACUGAUUAGACCGUCGAACAACCUACCUCAAGGAGAGCUCAACAUCUGCUCAUCUAUUUGUCUUCCUGGUCCAGCCGUAAUGCAAUCUUCAAGGAGCAGUAAAGUGUGAUCCUUGGAGGUGAAGGUGAGGGCAUUUGCUUAACCAUUGGUUGCUGCUCCCUCCAAGCGAUUAGUGAAACUUUGGGUACAUACUUGGGGGCUGUAAACCGAAGACCAAGUCUCCAUCUCACCCUCACUGUUCGGUUUUCUUAAGGUGCACAUAACCUGUGAGUGUGGACUGAGUAUGCUGCUGUUUGAUUUAUAUUUGGGCACACAAUGAGUGCGAAAGAGCAUUUGAUGAUGAUGUACUUGUAUUGUGGAUAUUCUGUUUACAUGCUGCUGUUGGAAAUUCUACUGUAUGUAGCUGAUUUUGCUGAAUGCGCAUGAAAUAUUUGACAUUGGUGUAAUAUUUGGGAGAUUGGAAAAAAUGUUGGAUCAUAUAUUAUUUUGCUAUAAUUUGGGAUUUAUGUACUGUUUGUAAAUUACGUAAUGUUGAACUCGUUUGCGAAAACAAUUUUUGUCUAUUUUUAAA